RNAcentral lists this ribosomal RNA (493 nucleotides) under uncultured bacterium. RNAcentral describes it as "bacterial SSU rRNA". It matches the Rfam family "Bacterial small subunit ribosomal RNA", at positions 344 to 834 of the family's 1533-position model. The record is from RNAcentral.
GGAGGCAGCAGUGAGGAAUAUUGGUCAAUGGGCGCAAGCCUGAACCAGCCAUGCCGCGUGCAGGAUGACAGUUCUAUGGAUUGUAAACUGCUUUUAUACGGGAAGAAUAACCUGAACGUGUUCGGGGAUGACUGUACUGUAUGAAUAAGCAUCGGCUAACUCCGUGCCAGCAGCCGCGGUAAUACGGAGGAUGCAAGCGUUAUCCGGAUUUAUUGGGUUUAAAGGGUGCGUAGGCGGGGUAUUAAGUCAGUGGUGAAAGUCUGCAGCUUAACUGUAGAAUUGCCAUUGAUACUGGUACUCUUGAAUACAAUUGAGGUAGGCGGAAUGUGUAAUGUAGCGGUGAAAUGCAUAGAUAUUACACAGAACACCGAUUGCGAAGGCAGCUUACUAAAUUGUGAUUGACGCUGAGGCACGAAAGCGUGGGGAUCAAACAGGAUUAGAUACCCUGGUAGUCCACGCCGUAAACGAUGAUCACUGGAUGUUGGCGAUACAC